This 737-nucleotide ribosomal RNA is filed under the name uncultured Aeromonas sp. RNAcentral describes it as "bacterial SSU rRNA". It matches the Rfam family "Bacterial small subunit ribosomal RNA", at positions 67 to 797 of the family's 1533-position model. The record is from RNAcentral. Lineage: Bacteria; Pseudomonadati; Pseudomonadota; Gammaproteobacteria; Aeromonadales; Aeromonadaceae.
CGGGAAAGUAGCUUGCUUCUUUUGCCGGCGAGCGGCGGACGGGUGAGUAAAGCCUGGGAAUUGCCCAGUCGAGGGGGAUUACAGUUGGAAACGACUGUUAUUCCGCAUAUUCUCUACGUGGGGAAAGCAGGGGACCUUUCGGUCCUUUGCGCGAUGGAUAUGCCCAGGUGGGAUUAGCUAGUUGGUGAGGUAAUGGCUCACCAAGGCGACGAUCCCUAGAUGGUCUGAGAGGAUGAUCAGCCACACUGGAAUUGAGACACGGUCCAGACUCCUACGGGAGGCAGCAGUGGGGAAUAUUGCACAAUGGGGGAAACCUUGAUCCAGCAAUGCCGCGUGUGUGAAGAAGGCCUUCGGGUUGUAAAGCACUUUUGUCCGGAAAGAAAUGGCUCUGGUUAAUACCCGGAGUUGAUGACGGUACCGGAAGAAUAAGGACCGGCUAACUACGUGCCAGCAGCCGCGGUAAUACGUAGGGUGCAAGCGUUAAUCGGAAUUACUGGGCGUAAAGCGCACGCAGACGGUCUGUCAAGUCGGAUGUGAAAUCCCCGGGCUCAACCUGGGAAUUGCAUUUAAAACUGUCCAGCUAGAGUCUUGUAGAGGGGGGUAGAAUUCCAGGUGUAGCGGUGAAAUGCGUAGAGAUCUGGAGGAAUACCGGUGGCGAAGGCGGCCCCCUGGACAAAGACGGACGCUCAGGUGCGAAAGCGUGGGGAGCAAACAGGAUUAGAUACCCUGGUAGUCCA